Molecule: ribosomal RNA, 2947 nt
Filed under: Medauroidea extradentata
Lineage: Eukaryota; Metazoa; Arthropoda; Insecta; Phasmatodea; Phasmatidae
Description: eukaryotic LSU rRNA
Rfam family: Eukaryotic large subunit ribosomal RNA
Source: RNAcentral
CGAAGUUCCUCCGAUGACUCGGCGGGCAGCUUCCGGGAAACCAAAGCUUUUGGGUUCCGGAUGAAGUAUGGUUGCAAAGCUGAAACUUAAAGGAAUUGACGGAAUGGCACCACCAGGAGUGGAGCCUGCGGCUUAAUUUGACUCAACACGGGAAUCCUCACCAGGCCCAGACACCGGAAGGAUUCACAGAUUUAGAGCUCUUUCUUGAUUCGGUGGGUGGUGGUGCAUGGCCUGGAGCAGUGCUCUUCUUCCAUAGUAGAAAUGUCGCGACCCGUUAGGUGCUGACCAGAGGAGUCGAUCCGCUAAAUGAGAAGCACUUGGGUUGAUGCAGCGUCUGGCCUCGCGCCGACGCGUGUGGGGAAUUGCCGACUUGUUCAGCGCGGGUGUCCGUUCGUCGUCACGGCCCCGGCCCCGUCUCGCCGUCGGUCGUCGGGUGUUUUCGGACUGGAUCGCCACUUCCGUCUGCGACGCCCACCUUCGGAUGGUCUCCCGACCCGUCUUGAAACACGGACCAAGGAGUCUAACAUGUGCGCGAGUCAUUGGUUUGUGCUAAGCCUACAGGCGAAAUGAAAGUGAAGGCCGCUUGGUGCGCGGCCGAGGGAAGAUGGUACCAGCGACCCGGGCUCCGGUCCGUGCCCGAUCCGCAUUCCCGGGGCAUCUCGUCCUCAUUGCGAGGUGAGGCGCACCUAGAGCGUACACGUUGGGACCCGAAAGAUGGCCUGGCCAGGACGAAGUCAGGGGAAACCCUGAUGGUGGUCAGUAGCGAUUCUGACAUGCAAAUCGAUCGUCGGAGCUGGGUAUAGGGGCGAAAGACUAAUCGAACCAUCUAGUAGCUGGUUCCCUCCGAAGUUUCCCUCAGGAUAGCUGACACUCGGAGGAAAGAAAGAAAGAGUCUCAUACGGUAAAGCGAAUGAUUAGAGGACUUGGGGCCGAAACGACUUCAACGUAUUUUCAAACUUUAAAUGGGUGAGAACCCCGGCUUGCUUGAGGAUGAAGCCAGUGAUGGAUCACGAGUGCCAAGUGGGCCACUUUUGGUAAGCAGAACUGGCACUGUGGGAUGAACCAAACGCCGAGUUAAGGCGCCUGAAUCGACGCUUAUGGGAAACCAUGAAGGCAUUGGUUGCUUAAGACAGCAGGACGGUGGCCAUGGAAGUCGGAAUCCGCUAAGCAGUGUGUAACAACUCACCUGCCGAAGCAACUAGCCCUGAAAAUGGAUGGCGCUGAAGCGUCGUGCCUAUACUCGGCCGUCAGCGCAUUAGGAGCGUGCCGGCGCCCUUCGGGGUGGUCGGUGCUCGAAGAAACCCUGUCGAGUAGGAGGGUCGCGGCGGUGAGCGCAGAAGGGCAUUGGCGCGAGCCUGCCUGGAGCCGCCGUCGGUGCAGAUCUUGGUGGUAGUAGCAAAUACUCAAGCAAAGUCCUUGAGGACUGAAGCGGAGAAGGGUUUCGUGUGAACAGCCGUUGCACAUGAGUCAGUCGAUCCUAAGCCCUAUGUGAAAGCUGAUGCCGAUGGGUGGUAUGUCAGGUCGUUAUACUCCCGGCGGGCGAAAUGGAAUCCGGUUCCUAUUCCGGAACCCGGCAGCGGAACGGUUCCGAUUCGGGCCCUCGCGAGAGUGUUCGUCGGAGUAACCCAAAAGGACCCGGAGACGCCGUCGGGAGAUCUGGGAAGAGUUUUCUUUUCUGUAUGAGCGUUCGAGUUCUCUGGAAUCCUCUAGCAGGGCGAUAGGGUUUGGGACGCGAAGACCACCGCAGUUGCGGCGGUGUCCAGAUCUUCCCCUCGGACCUUGAAAAUCCGGGAGAGGGCCACGCGGAGCAUUCGCGCCGGGUCGUACCCAUAUCCGCAGCAGGUCUCCAAGGUAAAGAGCCUCUAGCUGAUAGACUAAUGUAGGUAAGGGAAGUCGGCAAAUUGGAUCCGUAACUUCGGAAUAAGGAUUGGCUCUGAGGACCGGGGAGUUUCAAGCUUGGUCGGGAAGCGGGUUCGCGGUAACGUGUCGGUCCUGGGCGAGGUGAUAGCUGGCGAACCCCGCCUCGUGCGGUGACGAGCCUCUAGGAUCCGAGCUCGGUCCUGUGCCUUGGCCGCCCACGGAUCUUCCUUGCUGCGAGGUGGCUUCAGCCGCGGUCCUGUGUGGGCCAGGUGGUGCCCCUCUUCGGCCGCCAUUAAACGGUCAACUCAGAACUGGCAUGGACCUGGGGAAUCCGACUGUCUAAUUAAAACAAGGCAUUGCGAUGGCCCCAAAGUGGUGUUGACGCAAUGUGAUUUCUGCCCAGUGCGCUGAAUGUCAACGUGAUGAAAUUCAAGCAAGCGCGGGUAAACGGCGGGUGUAACUAUGACUCUCUUGGGAAUCUCAGCGGGGAAAGAAGACCCUGCUGAGCUUGACUCUAGUCUGGCACUGUAAGGAGACAUGAGACGUGUAUCAUAAGUGGGAGACGGGGUCUCCCUGUCAACGGUGAAAUGCCACUACUUUCAUCGUUUCUUUUCUUACUUGGUUGAGCGGAGCGUGUGACGUUGGGCCUCUCAUGCACCUCGGCAUACUUUUUCUUGUUCCAAGCGCUCAAGAGAACUCGGGGCCGCCAAGCGUCCUCGCGGCGUCGCGCUGCGCCCCUGGGUUGCACAUACCCCCGCGUAAUCCGAUCCAAGGACACUGCCAGGCGGGGAGUUUGACUGGGGCAGUACAUCUGUCAAAUGAUAACGCAGGUGUCCUAAGGCUAGCUCAGCGAGAACAGAAACAUCGUGUGAAGCAAAAGGGCAAAAGCAGGCUUGAUCCCGACACUCAGUAUGUGUAGGGACUGCUAAAGCACAGCCUAUCUAUCCUUUUGCCUUGAGGAGUUUUCAGCAAGAGGUGUCAUAAAAGUUACCACAGGGAUAACUGGCUUGUGGCGGCCAAGCGUUCAUAGCGACGUCGCUUUUUAAUCCGUCGAUGUCGGCUCUUCAUAUCAUUGCGAAGCAGAAUU